Molecule: ribosomal RNA, 301 nt
Filed under: uncultured bacterium
Lineage: Bacteria
Description: partial 16S ribosomal RNA
Rfam family: Bacterial small subunit ribosomal RNA
Source: RNAcentral
CAGCCGCCACGGUAAUACAGAGGGUGCGAGCGUUAAUCGGAUUUACUGGGCGUAAAGCGUGCGUAGGCGGCUUCUUAAGUCGGAUGUGAAAUCCCUGAGCUUAACUUAGGAAUUGCAUUCGAUACUGGGAAGCUAGAGUAUGGGAGAGGAUGGUAGAAUUCCAGGUGUAGCGGUGAAAUGCGUAGAGAUCUGGAGGAAUACCGAUGGCGAAGGCAGCCAUCUGGCCUAAUACUGACGCUGAGGUACGAAAGCAUGGGGAGCAAACAGGAUUAGAUACCCGUGUAGUCCCUGUCUCUUAUAU